CCUACGGGAGGCAGCAGUCGAGAAUCAUUCACAAUGGGGGAAACCCUGAUGGUGCGACGCCGCGUGGGGGAAUGAAGGUCUUCGGAUUGUAAACCCCUGUCAUGUGGGAGCAAAUUAACAAGAUAGUACCACAAGAGUAAGAGACGGCUAACUCUGUGCCAGCAGCCGCGGUACUACAGAGGUCUCAAGCGUUGUUCGGAAUCACUGGGCGUAAAGCGUGCGUAGGCUGUUUAGUCAGUCGUGUGUGAAAGGCGCGGGCUCAACCCGCGGACGGCACAUGAUACUGCGAGACUAGAGUAAUGGAGGGGGUAACGGAAUUCGCGGUGUAGCAGUGAAAUGCGUAGAUAUCGAGAGGAACACUCGUGGCGAAGGCGGGUUCCUGGACAUUAACUGACGCUGAGGCACGAAGGCCAGAGGAGCGAAAGGGAUUAGAUACCCUUGUAGUC
Molecule: ribosomal RNA, 446 nt
Filed under: uncultured bacterium
Lineage: Bacteria
Description: partial 16S ribosomal RNA
Rfam family: Bacterial small subunit ribosomal RNA
Source: RNAcentral